Non-coding RNA from Paramuricea clavata, 966 nucleotides. The record is from the annotation of a GenBank genome assembly. NCBI's taxonomy places the organism in Eukaryota, Metazoa, Cnidaria, Anthozoa, Malacalcyonacea, Plexauridae.
UUUAGAAUAAUUGGUCCGUUUUCCAAUUCAGUGGCGUUUUCAAAAGCCUUCAAAUGCCCAUCUGGCAGCAGAAUGAAUCCUGUAAAGAAAUGUCGUGUUUGGUAGAAGAGGAUUUUAAAUGAAGAAUAAAUUAUUUUUAUGCUUUCCCCCUCGAAUAAUUUACUACUUGAGAAAAAAAUAUAUAACAAUUGCAUUUCCCCAGUUUUGUCAAAUGACUUAAUUUUUUCGUCCCAUCUUACUCAGUAGAGAGGUUCAGAUUUGACUUCCACUACCUCUACCAUAUUGUGGACCAUUAACCAAUCAGAUGCAUUGAAUAUAUCCGAUUAACCAAUCAGAUUCGUAAUAAGCCAGUGGGAGGUAUUAGUAGUCGAAGUCAAGUUCAGUACCUCGCUUUUACAAAGUCCACAAAGCCCGCAAUCUCGUUCCCAGAGUAUGCCUGUUCACGGGUUAUGUAGUGGCAUGACACUACAUAACCCGCGAACAGGCAUACUCUGGGAACGAGAUUGCAAAGCCCGAGGAAAACUUAUUAGCCUCCAACCUCGUACCCAGGCUCUUAUAAGACCCGGGGUACGAGGUUGAUUAGCCUCAGGGGGACAAGGGCGUGUUACUGCGUUUGCUUUUCAAAUUUUAUUUCCCAAAUUACUUUUCAAAUUUUUCAUUUAUGAAAAAAUUGGAAAUUUUACACAUAAUAAGGAAACAAGAUUGCGUAAUCCCGCCUGUCAUUUCAUUCUAGGCUAGCUCUUUAUAGCUUGGUGGCUCGCGCAGAAAUACUCGAAGCCGUUUAUAGAAGUAACUCAAUUAAAACACUUCGGAUUUAAACUGAAAUAAAAGCCUCUCCCGUCUAUAGAUAUUUACUUCUGCAGCCAUUCAAUGCAUUUGGAAAAAUAAAUGGGUGGGAGGGUGUGUCUAGAUCCAAUUUUCAACUAUAAACGUCUGUGUGUUGACUUUUAAAACAUAAUUUCCUGC